RNAcentral lists this transfer RNA (71 nucleotides) under Spinacia oleracea (spinach). It matches the Rfam family "tRNA". Rfam says of the family: Transfer RNA (tRNA) molecules are approximately 80 nucleotides in length. Their secondary structure includes four short double-helical elements and three loops (D, anti-codon, and T loops). Further hydrogen bonds mediate the characteristic L-shaped molecular structure. tRNAs have two regions of fundamental functional importance: the anti-codon, which is responsible for specific mRNA codon recognition, and the 3' end, to which the tRNAs corresponding amino acid is attached (by aminoacyl-tRNA synthetases). tRNAs cope with the degeneracy of the genetic code in two manners: having more than one tRNA (with a specific anti-codon) for a particular amino acid; and 'wobble' base-pairing, i.e. permitting non-standard base-pairing at the 3rd anti-codon position. Lineage: Eukaryota; Viridiplantae; Streptophyta; Magnoliopsida; Caryophyllales; Amaranthaceae. The record is from Rfam by way of RNAcentral.
AGCCUAUUAGCUCAAAAUGGCAGAGCAAUGUGUCAUGCACAUGGGUGUAGGUUCGACUCCUACAUAGGCUG